UUUCACUGUGUCUCCUACGGCUUCCUCAGCUGGGUUCAAUAUUCCCAGCUGAGGAAGCCGUAGGAGACACGGUGAAAC
Non-coding RNA from Pelobates cultripes (western spadefoot toad), 78 nucleotides. The record is from the annotation of a GenBank genome assembly. NCBI's taxonomy places the organism in Eukaryota, Metazoa, Chordata, Amphibia, Anura, Pelobatidae.